CGUAGGGUGCGAGCGUUAAUCGGAAUUACUGGGCGUAAAGCGUGCGCAGGCGGUUUGUUAAGAUAGGCGUGAAAUCCCCGGGCUCAACCUGGGAACUGCGCUUAUGACUGGCAAGCUAGAGUACGGCGGAGGGGGGUGGAAUUCCACGUGUAGCAGUGAAAUGCGUAGAGAUGUGGAGGAACACCAAUGGCGAAGGCAGCCCCCUGGGUCGAUACUGACGCUCAUGCACGAAAGCGUGGGUAGCAAACAGGAUUAGAUACCCUGGUAGUCCACGCCCUAAACGAUGUCAACUAGGUGUUGGAUGGGUAAAACCAUUUAGUACCGGAGCUAACGCGUGAAGUUGACCGCCUGGGGAGUACGGCCGCAAGGUUA
This 372-nucleotide ribosomal RNA is filed under the name uncultured organism. Its description in RNAcentral is "bacterial SSU rRNA". It matches the Rfam family "Bacterial small subunit ribosomal RNA", at positions 526 to 896 of the family's 1533-position model. The record is from RNAcentral.